This 249-nucleotide ribosomal RNA is filed under the name uncultured bacterium. Its description in RNAcentral is "partial 16S ribosomal RNA". It matches the Rfam family "Bacterial small subunit ribosomal RNA", at positions 57 to 305 of the family's 1533-position model. The record is from RNAcentral.
GCAAGUCGAACGGUGAAGAGGAGCUUGCUCCUCGGAUCAGUGGCGGACGGGUGAGUAACACGUGAGCAACCUGCCUUUCAGUGGGGGACAACAGUUGGAAACGACUGCUAAUACCGCAUAACGUGCCGAGGGGGCAUCCCUUUGGUACCAAAGAUUUAUCGCUGAAAGAUGGGCUCGCGUCUGAUUAGAUAGUUGGUGAGGUAACGGCCCACCAAGUCGACGAUCAGUAGCCGGACUGAGAGGUUGAUC